AGGUGGUCAUCUUGUCAACUGUUUUCAUAAAGAUAAGAUUUUCUAAAAGUUAUACACAAGAUGAAUGGAUUAACCACUGGAAGACCUGCACUACUACAAAUGUUAAAGAAAGUCCUUCCAAGAAAGAAAAAAGGCAACUUAAUGGAAACUUGUGUCUACCAAAUGGAAAGAAGAGCAAUGGGAAUCCUAACUACGGUACACUGAAGAACACUUUUGCAGCUGACUAACAACUCUUGAUAUUGAGAAAGUUAUCAGAAUUAUUUGCAAAUCUCCUCUCAGAUUUGCAAAGGAUGCUGGCAUUUCUCCAUGAGGCAGGAGUGUGAGAAAAAAAGUUGAAUGUGGUGAUGGGGAAAACACUGAAGUUCAAAAGAAGCGAAGACAAGAAGCUACUCAUGGCAGCAGCUUUUCCCAUAAAUCAAGAAAUGCUACAGAUUAUAAAUGAGAUGAGACUAUCAAGAAGAGACCUAAUAGGAGUGUGAAGACCAAAAAUUUAAAAGACGUGGUUAUAUACUUUGAGUAAACUCUAUAUAUAGGACAAUGUUAUUGUUUGGUUCUGUGUUCCUCACUCAAAUCUCACCUCAAAUUAUAAUCCCCAUGUGUCAAGGGCAGGACCAGGUGGAAGUAACUGGAUCAUGGGGGAAGUUUUCCUCAUGCUUUUCUCAUAGUAAGUGAGUUCUCAUAAGAUCUGAUUUUUUUAUAAGCAUAUGGCAUUUCCCCUCCUAGCAUUUUGCCUCCUGCUGCCUUGCAAAGACGGCAGUUGCUUCCCCUUUGCCUUCCGCCAUGACUGUAAGUUCCCUGAGUCCUCUCCAGCCAUGUGGAACUGUGGGUUA
Molecule: long non-coding RNA, 830 nt
Filed under: Homo sapiens (human)
Lineage: Eukaryota; Metazoa; Chordata; Mammalia; Primates; Hominidae
Description: HSALNT0319930
Source: RNAcentral